Molecule: ribosomal RNA, 1247 nt
Filed under: metagenome
Description: bacterial SSU rRNA
Rfam family: Bacterial small subunit ribosomal RNA
Source: RNAcentral
CGCUUUAAGAGGAGUUCGCGGCCUAUCAGCUUGUUGGCGAGGUAACGGCUCACCAAGGCAAAGACGGGUAGCUGGUCUGAGAGGAUGAUCAGCCACACUGGAACUGAGAAACGGUCCAGACACCUACGGGUGGCAGCAGUUUCGAAUUAUUCACAAUGGCCGAAAGCCUGAUGGUGCGACGCCGCGUGAGGGAUGAAGGUCUUCGGAUUGUAAACCUCUGUCACCGGGGAGGAAUUUUUUUGGACCAACACUCCAAAAGUUGACUUAACUCGGAGAGGAAGCAGUGGCUAACUCUGUGCCAGCAGCCGCGGUAAUACAGAGACUGCAAGCGUUAUCCGGAUUCACUGGGCGUAAAGGGUGUGCAGGCGGCAAAGUGUGUGGAGUGUGAAAGCCCGAGGCUCAACUUCGGAACUGCACUCCAAACUAUUUUGCUAGAGCAUUGGAGAGAGUAGCAGAAUUCACGGUGUAGCAGUGAAAUGCGUAGAUAUCGUGAGGAAUACCAGAGGCGAAGGCGGCUACUUGGACAAUUGCUGACGCUCAAACACGAAAGCGUGGGGAGCAAAAGGGAUUAGAAACCCCUGUAGUCCACGCCCUAAACGGUGCAUACUAGGUCUCGGCUGGUUCGACCCAGUCGGGGCUCAAGCUAACGCGUUAAGUAUGCCGCCUGAGGACUACGGCCGCAAGGCUAAAACUCAAAGGAAUUGACGGGGGCCCGCACAAGCGGUGGAGUAUGUGGCUUAAUUCGAUGCCACGCGAAGAACCUUACCUAGCCUUGACAUGCAAUAGAUAGGUGUUGAAAGACACUCUUCCUUCGGGACUCUUGCACAGGUGCUGCAUGGCUCGUCAGCUCGUGUCGUGAGAUGUUGCGUUAAGUCGCGCAACGAGCGCAACCCCUGUCUCUAGUUGCCAUCAUUAAGUUGGGCACUCUAGAGAGACAAACCCUCUUUGAGGGUGGGAAGGUGGGGAUGACGUCAAGUCAGGAUGGCCCUUACGGCUAGGGCUGCACACGUACUACAAUGUCCGGUACAACGGGAAGCAAUGUCGCGAGACUGAGCAAAUCCUAAAAACCGGACCCAGUUCAGAUUGUAGUCUGCAACUCGACUACAUGAAGUUGGAAUCGCUAGUAAUGGCGCAUCAGCUACGGCGCCGUGAAUACGUUCCCGGGCCUUGUACACACCGCCCGUCACGUCAUGAAAGCCGGUUUCGCCCGAAGUAUGUUUGCAAACCAGCAAUGGAUGCGGCGUCCU